Molecule: ribosomal RNA, 494 nt
Filed under: uncultured bacterium
Lineage: Bacteria
Description: partial 16S ribosomal RNA
Rfam family: Bacterial small subunit ribosomal RNA
Source: RNAcentral
UGGGGAAUAUUGCACAAUGGGCGAAAGCCUGAUGCAGCGACGCCGCGUGCGGGAUGAAGGCCUUCGGGUUGUAAACCGCUUUUGAUUGGGAGCAAGCGAGAGUGAGUGUACCUUUCGAAUAAGCACCGGCUAACUACGUGCCAGCAGCCGCGGUAAUACGUAGGGUGCAAGCGUUAUCCGGAAUUAUUGGGCGUAAAGAGCUCGUAGGCGGUUUGUCGCGUCUGGUGUGAAAGUCCAUCGCUUAACGGUGGAUCUGCGCCGGGUACGGGCAGGCUAGAGUGCGACAGGGGAGACUGGAAUUCCCGGUGUAACGGUGGAAUGUGUAGAUAUCGGGAAGAACACCAAUGGCGAAGGCAGGUCUCUGGGUCGUCACUGACGCUGAGGAGCGAAAGCGUGGGGAGCGAACAGGAUUAGAUACCCUGGUAGUCCACGCCGUAAACGGUGGAUGCUGGAUGUGGGGCCCAUUCCACGGGUUCCGUGUCGGAGCUAACGCG